Molecule: ribosomal RNA, 1964 nt
Filed under: human gut metagenome
Description: bacterial LSU rRNA
Rfam family: Bacterial large subunit ribosomal RNA
Source: RNAcentral
UCAAGCUACUAAGGGCAUACGGCGGAUGCCUAGGCGCCAUGAGCCGAAGAAGGACGCGGUAAGCUGCGAAAAGCCACGGGGAACUGCAAGCAAGUAUAGAUCCGUGGAUAUCCGAAUGGGGAAACCCAACUACCGUCAUGGGUAGUUAUCCGAAAGGAAGGGAACCUGGGGAACUGAAACAUCUAAGUACCCGGAGGAAAAGAAAUCAAACGAGAUGCCCACAGUAGCGGCGAGCGAAGAGGGCAGAGCCCAAACCGUAAAGCUACGGCUUUACGGGGUUGAGGACCGGCAGAAUCGAAGUCAGGUCUAGCUGAACUACCUGGAAAGGUAGGCUAAAGAGUGUAAAAGCCACGUAAGCGAAAGACAGAGCGGAGAGGCCGAGAUCCAGAGUACCACGAAGCACGAGGAAUUUUGUGGGAAGCAGGGGGGACCACCCUCCAAGGCUAAAGACUAAAUGGCGACCGAUAGCGCAUAGUACCGUGAGGGAAAGGUGAAAAGAACCCCGGGAGGGGAGUGAAAGAGUACCUGAAACCGUAUGUCUACAAGCAGUCGGAGCGAAAGCGACGGCGUGCCUAUUGAAGAAUGAACCAACGAGUUACGUGCAGUAGCGAGGUUAAGUGGAAGACACGGAGCCGAAGCGAAAGCGAGUCUUAAGAGGGCGACUAGUUGCUGUACGUAGACCCGAAACCGCAGUGAUCUACCCAUGUCCAGGUUGAAGCGCAGGUAAAAUUGCGUGGAGGACCGAACCGGUGAGCGUUGAAAAGCUUUCGGAUGAGAUGUGGGUAGAGGUGAAAUUCCAAUCGAACGCGGAGAUAGCUGGUUCUCCCCGAAAUAGCUUUAGGGCUAGCCUCAAGUAGUAAGUAUAGGCGGUAGAGCACUGAUCGGGCUAGGGGCCGUAAAGGUUACCGAACCCUGUCAAACUCCGAAUGGUUAUACUGCAGAGCUUGGGAGUCAGACUACGAGUGAUAAGAUCCGUGGUCAAAAGGGAAACAGCCCAGACCACCAGCUAAGGUCCCCAAUGCCGUACUAAGUGGAAAAGGAUGUGGGGUCUCAUAAACAACCAGGAUGUUGGCUUAGAAGCAGCCACCAUUUAAAGAGUGCGUAAUAGCUCACUGGUCGAGAGACCCUGCGCCGAAGAUUACCGGGGCUAAAGUACGGAACCGAAGCUGUGGCUACAUACUUAGGUAUGUGGGGUAGGGGAGCGUUCCCAUAGGAUUGAAGUCGUACUGUAAGGUACGGUGGACUUAUGGGAAGUGAGAAUGUUGGUAUGAGUAGCGAAAAGAAAGGUGAGAAUCCUUUCCACCGAAAGCAUAAGGAUUCCUGGGCAACGAUCGUCGUCCCAGGGUAAGUCGGGACCUAAUCCGAGGCAGAGAGCGUAGGAGAUGGACAACUGGUUGAUAUUCCAGUACCGGUGAUAAUUGUCUGAGCGAUGGAGUGACACAGGAGGGCAGGUCAGCAGGAGAUUGGAAGUUCCUGUGAAAGCGUGUAGGAUGGCAGACAGGCAAAUCCGUCUGCUGAAAGUCUGAGGCGUGAGACGAGAUGGUAGAAAUACCGUCGAAGUGAUUGACCCCACACUGUCGAGAAAAGCUUCUAGUGAGAUUAUAACCGCCCGUACCGUAAACCGACACAGGUAUGCGGGGAGAGAAUCCUAAGGUGCGCGGGAGAACCCUCGUUAAGGAACUCGGCAAAAUGUACCCGUAACUUCGGGAUAAGGGUAGCCGCUGUUGUGAAGUCUCAAGCAGAUGGAGCAUAAGGCGGUCGCAGAGAAGAGGCCCAAGCGACUGUUUACCACAAACACAGGUGCCUGCUAAAGCGAAAGCUGACGUAUAGGUGCUGACACCUGCCCAGUGCCGGAAGGUUAAGGAAGGAUGUCCGGAUUAGUCCAAAGCAUUCGACCGAAGCCCCGGUGAACGGCGGCCGUAACUAUAACGGUCCUAAGGUAGCGAAAUUCCUUGUCGGGUAAG